This 8581-nucleotide long non-coding RNA is filed under the name Cricetulus griseus (Chinese hamster). Its description in RNAcentral is "lncRNA (ENSCGRG00015041150.1)". Lineage: Eukaryota; Metazoa; Chordata; Mammalia; Rodentia; Cricetidae. The record is from RNAcentral.
UCGAAUGCAAUUUUUUAAAAAUCUUUUAUUUUUUUAUUUUUUUAUUUUUUGCUCAGCAUAUCUGAAUGGCUACCCAGCAGGUACAGUUAGGACAGGACACAAAGGAACAUGAAUGAGCAGGAUCUUGGUGGAUUAUUUUAUCUUGAAUGUCCUUGGAAAGAAGCCAUUAUAAAAUGCUGGUUCUCCUCUGUUUACUGCUCUAGUUGGCAGCAUGAACCUGGGAGAGGGUGCCUGAAAAUGAGGGGGACCUUUUGGGUCAUGCAAUAGCCAGCCAACUCUAUUCAGAGCUUCAGACCACUUAUACUCUAAGGGUUAACAAGAGUCAGUGGAGGAAAGUGUAGAACCAAUCACAAGGACAAGCCACGCAUGGCAAAAACAUGUUUCUCUAAAGAGGCAUAUAAACAAAUAACAAUAGGCAGUUGUAAGGGAUAAUCUGAAGUGAAAUCACUCCUCCCCAUGCACCUGGGAGGACAUGAAAGCACAUUCCAAGAACAACUUAUGCUAUGGAGGAACAGAGAUUACAAGACUCUUGUUUACCUGGAGUUUUCUCACAAGGUCUCAGAAAUCUCCUCCCACAGCUUGGUUCAUGAACCAUGUUCCAACACUCCUCCCUGGUGCUGGUGAGCACAUCUGCUGCAGGGGUAUUAGAAGACAAUGGCUAACAUGGCAUCAAACAGUUCACACCAAAUCUCACCUAGAAUUAGAAACUAAUCCUUUUGGGUUUUGUUUUUGUUUUGAGACAGGGUUUCUCUAUGUAACAGUCCUAGCUAGUUGUCUUGGAACUCACUUUGUAGACUAGGCUGGCUUCAAACUCACUGAGAUCCACCUGCCUCUGCUUCCCAAGUGCUGGGAUUAAAGGUGUGCACCACCAACACCUGGAAAAACUAAUUAUUUGUAUCCAAACUUUGAAACACUUGGAUGAAGCAGGUGAACAAAUUUCUUCCACAGUAGUUUUCCUGUCAGACCUACAGAUGGUCUUUGUGUAAACUUUCUCUCUAGCAGUACUUUCUCAGGUCCCAUCAUAAUGUGGUUAUUCUCCAGGGUCCUGGGGAGCUUGGGUGAGAGAUGCUGAGGCCCAGCCACUGCUACUGAAAAGGGACAUGGCAUAGAGUGAGCACAGUUGGCAGAGCCUCUUCUUGAGCCUGGCUAGAGGUGGGUUAGCAAUUCUGAUGUCAUUCGAGAGAAGACUAUUUGAGGAGGGGACAGGAGUAGUCAUUUACUGCAUGAGCGUUUCAGAAAAGCCGGGAUUCAGUUCUCUUCUUCUACCAUGUGGGUCCCAUAGGCAAAGUUGGGUAAUCGGGCUUGGUAGUAAGCAUCCACUGAGCCAUCUUGAAUGCACUGUAAAUUAUUUUGAGUGACAAUUUAUUCCAUUUCUUGUAGGUAGAGUUUUUCCACUGGACUGCCAGCUCUCAACCACAUAGAGACUUAUUAUUAGUUAUAAAACAAGCUUAGGCUUGUUUUUAGCUAGCUUUUAUAACUUAAAUUAACCAAUUUCUAUUAAUCUAUGUGCUACCCCGAGGCUCAUUUACCUCAUCUAUGUACUUUCCAUGCUGCUUCUACCGAGUCUGGCUAAUCACUCCCCAGACUCCUCCCUUCUUCUCCCCAGAAUUCUCUCUGCCCCCCAAGCCCUGCUACUGGCUGUUUAGCUUUUUAAUAAACCCAAUCAAUGUGACAUAUAUUCACACAGUGUAAAAGAAUAUUCCACAACUUCUUUCAUUUCUCUACUAGAUUGCAAGAUCCUAGAUCUUGAAUCUUACUCUCCUUUGUAGCCUUGACUAUAUGCUCUUUUCUGAUUUUUUUUUUUUUUACUACAGAAGAGAUUUUCUGUAAAUACUAAGUGGGUAGCAUGAAAAUGAUAGUGGGGAAAACAGUGGGCAGAAUUGGAUGUAUAAUUGGUUGGUCACAGUGGGGAGGGGAAAUACGAGAGCAGACAUCUAGGAUUUUAAGAUGGUAAUAGUGGAGCAUCGGUGUCAAUAUAGGGCCCUCUGAGUCCUGUGUCUCUCCACAGCCACACACUCCUGCAGCCCCCUCAGCGGCUGACUUUGACCUCACAACUCCGAAGCACCUGAGUGAUUUAAAAGGCUAGGAUGCAGGGAGACGGCUACCAUGUGAUACCCAGUCAUUCUCCUCCUAGACGAGGGUAUGCUUUGUUGCACAGUUGACCACAUAAGAACUACAUUUCUGAAACUUGAACUCAGUGUUCUCUCUGGCCGAACAGUAGAAAAGAUGUGUGCAGGAUCCAAGUAGAAGAGCCCCUCGGGUGCCGGCUGUUGGUGGCGCACGCCUUUAAUCCCAGUACUCGGGAAGCAGAGGCAGGCGGAUCUCUGUGAGUUCGAGGCCAGCCUGGUCUCCAGAGCGAGUGCCAGGACAGGCUCCAAAGAUACACAGAGAAACCCUGUCUCAAAAAAACCAAAAAAAAAAAAAAAAAAAAAAGAGCCCCUCGGUCCAUCUUCCCAGCUCUGUGAUCCCGUAGCCCAGUUUCAGCCAUAAAAACAUCCUAAGAGACUCAGCGUGCCAGAGCACAGUUGGAAGGGCUCUGGGUCCCUGAGAGGCACGAUGUAUGUGAAACAGACACACUCAGAAACACAGCACACCUCAGAGCAGUGGCUCAAAUCAGUGGGGGGUCCCCUAUCACAGAUUUGUCGACAAAUACAUUGCUGACAAUAAUAUGAUAAAAACAUCUCUUUUCAUUCACCCAGCAGCCAGUCACAUGGCCCUCUAGACCAGUGGUUCUCAACCUCCCUAAUGCUGCAACCAUUUAACAUGGUUCCUUAUGUUGUGGUGACCCCCCCAACCAUAAAGUUGAAAUAUCAUUGCUACUUCAUAGCUGUAAUUUUGCUACUGUUUAUGAGCCAUAAUGUAAAUAUCUGUGUUUUCUGAUGGUCUUCAGUGAUUCCCGUAAAGGGUCCAAUGGGGUCAUGACCACAGGUUGAGCAACACUUCUCUACACUCAGCCAAAGCAGGAACAUGCCUGCAGGUCUCUGAGUAUGACAGAAAUAGACUUAAGGUCAGGUCCAAAGAAGGAGCUUGGGUUAGCAAGGGAGUGAACCACGCUCAGGCCUGAUCUAAAUCUGCUCCCUCCCAAGAAACUCAAUGGUUCUCAACUUGUAUGUCUUGGCCCAUUGGACCCUUCCCAGGGGUCACGUGAGACCAUCAGGAAACACAGACUUUUUGCAUUAUGAUUCAUAACAAAAGUUGGGAGGUCACCACAACACGAGGAAGUGUAUUAAAGGGUCGAAGCAUUAGGAAGGUUGAGAAGCGCUGAGUUAAAUUAAGCUUGCCUUACCCUAAAUUGACCUAGUAAGAUAAUAUAGUCUUAAAACUAGUGGCUGAAACCUGGCUAAUCAUGAGUUUUCUGCAAGCCACAGACUACAAACUAAGGAAAUAUGUUCAUUUAAGACACAUACCAAACUGCACGCUAUCUCUGUCCUUCAGCAGCAUCUUCUGACUGUGUGAUAGAGUUCUCUGGAUCUCCUUCACCACAAGUACCAUCUGCUUUGUCAGUCUGUCCCCUGCUCAGAUAAUCCCUCUUGAAUGUGUCUAACAUUUUUCUUCCUAAGAGAUAGAAGUCAGAAGUGAGAUCUCAAGCAGAAUUCCAGGAGUGCUGGUGACUCAACAGAGCUGCCUGGUCAGGGCCCAUUGUGCCCUUGGCCUCUCCCAGCCACUGGAGGUCAGGGGUGAGUGGGUUCUCUCUUGGAUCCUGAACUCCAAAAACCUGUGUUUUGAGCUCUUUGGGUUGAGUUGAGCAACUCUUAGAUUAGACUGGUCUAGAAUGAGCUACAUCCAGUAUCUAACUGCAUCAGAGCCAUUGGAAGCCUUGGCUGGGUACAUUUUGAUAAUGGGCUUAGCUAAUUACAGUCAUCUUCUGGGAUUCCAGAUAAUUUUAUGUAUAAGAAUUUUAGACCUAGACUUUAUAUAAACUAAGGGAAAUGCUUUGCUCAUUUAGAGAUUGAAUCAUGCUAAAAAGUAUCAAUGGACCAGACACGGUGGUGCUCCUCUUUAACCCCAACACUGGGGAGGCAGAGGCAGGCUGAUCUGAGUUCCAGGACAGCCAGGGUUACAUAGAGAGACCCAGGAUGAGAAAGCCAGUCUUGUUUGCCUUUGCUUGGGAAGGUCAACAGUGUACCCCAAGGCUUCACUGAAGCCCCCCCACUGUCCCCAACAAUGACUGAGGACUUAGCACCCCAAAAGUUUUCUCUGGUCUACAACCAAAAGACAAUUUCGAGGCCCUUUUGGGCUUGUAGGAUGAUGUAGAUUCUGGGUUCAGCAUGUUUUCUCAGUAGCCUCAUCUUUCUCAUUAGAAAGAACCACAGCCUUUGUUCUAGGAAGAGACUUGGGGUAGCCCUUUAACCAAAUGACAUUGGGAUCUGGCUCUGGUUUUAAACCUGUUAACCUUACUUGUCCAUGAACAUGAUAGUCAUGUAGUUUUAUGCCAGAAUGUAGCAACACCUAUGCCCCUGUGUAUUAUAAUGUACAAUUAGAGUAGCAAAGGCAUGUCUAAAUUAUUUAAAAGUACUAUCAGCAGCAACCAUAUUGGCAGAAGCUUCAUUCAACGUGGCGUUGGGAGAUAAAACUUAUUUACAAGUGCUCACAUUCUGUGGGAAGUCCACUAAAAUCCAACCAGCUAUUUUUGAUCAGCCGACUAGCAACUCCUGCAACUUUUCUGCCUCCUUCCAAUCUCCAUCUAAAAUGUUGGGUUUUAGACUGCCUCUGUUGUCUUUAUCUGGAUGAUGGUACUUAACCACACAUAGUGAGCGAGAACCAAGUCAAUCCAGUGACAUCACAUAAGCAAUUACUCAGCCAUCAGUGGUGGGUCUCAGGUCUUGGCUAUACAAAGCUGGGAAGCACAAUAUAUCUUUUUUUGUUCCUGGUUUUUGUUUGUUUGGUUGGUUUGGUUUUUCCAGAUAGGGUUUCCUUGUGUAGUUCCAGCUGUCCUGGAACUCACUCUAUAAACCAGGCCUGCCUCUGUCUCCUGAGUGCUGGGAUUAAAGGUGUGGGCCACCAACGCCCAUCUUAGGUAUCUCAUGGGUAGGUUUUCUAUAUUUGGUAGCAAUUUCAUUGGGUUUUUGUUUUGUUUUUGCUUCUCCCUUCCCCAAUGCUGGGAAUCCAAUCCAGGCCAUAGUAUAUGCUACACAACUGCCUUAUUACGGAGCCACAGCCCAGCCCCAAAGUGGGCAUUUGCAGGGGUGUGGGUGGGUAUCUUGUGCACUGAAUUAAGUCUAUUUUUUUUUUCUCAUUAGAUGUGGUUCUGUGCCCUUGCAGCAUACAGGAGCUACAGGAAAGUGAUUUUUCUCCCUGGACUUUGCUCAGGAGCCCUGUGUACUCAUAGGCAAACAAUUUUAACUAUCUCUGAUAAACAUUCUCUUUUCCAGCCACUAUGGGGGCAUGUAGGGCCAGCAGAGAAUGUGGGUCCCCUGUCAGGCAUCCACAACUGCAUUAGAUGUUACUCCACUCUCCUGCCUCUCACAUUCCUUCCCCUGAAAUGUUUUGCCAUUUGUUAAAUGGGAUACACUCUGAGAAAUUCAUCAGCAGGUAAUAUUAGGUAUGAAUACCAUAGAACAUGUUUAUAUAGUAUAUAUAGGAUAGCCCAUAGUAUAGUAUAGCCCAUAAAAGGCUAUGUAAAGUGUACAUCAUGUUACUGUAUCUCUACUGCAGGCAAAUGUAACACAGGGGUAAGACUGUGUUUAUACAAACAUAGAAAAGGCACUGAGAAAAACUAUUUAAAACUUAAAGGAAGUCAGCAGGAAUAGAGGCUGUAUAGGGAAAGGAUCAGCUCAGGAGACUCAAGACCACGUUCUCAGCACAAAGGAGAUUUAUUUUCCCCAGUAGGACAGGGGGAAUGGACAAAGUCAGGAGAUAGAGAAAGAGGGAGAAGGGGAAGGGAACAAAGGAAAAGGAGCAGAGGUAUUUGCCUCUGGAUAGAGAGGAAACAAACAUGGCACAUAGGAAAAUGGCAGGUUAUAAGGGUACAAGGGGAAACUCCAUGUUAGGUCGAGGCGUUUAAUUUUAAUUGGACAUGCUAAUUAGGUGAGCCAAAGGGGGCUUUUGAUUUCUGGCCUUCAAUACUUUGAUAGCUGGACCUUGGUGGUCAGCCUCAGGAAGAUGAAGUGGCCAAAUAAGGGAAUGGACCUUGGUGGCUAGCUUGAAGAAUGGAAUCCAAUGAUUUUUAGCCAGGCAGAGUGACUGGGGGAGAAGCACGAGGCCUGCCAGAGCCAUGCCUGCCAAUCAAUCAGGCUGGAGUCCCUUCAGGGCUGCCGAACCUUUAGUGUCAGUGAGUGAGUAGUGAGUGAAUGUGGAGGCCCAGGACUUCUGCACUCCUGUAGACUUUAUAGACACCAUGCAUUUAGUUUACACUAGAUUUAUUUUUUCUUUCUUCAAUAAUAAUUUCAUCUUAUCAUACUGUAGCUUUUUGCCAUCAAAAACUAGUUUUUAAACUUUCAACUUUUUAGAACACUGCUAAAAGCCCAAACUCAUACAGUUGCACAAAAAUAGUUUCUUUAUAUCCUUAUUAUAUGAACUUUUUUCUAUUAAAAAAAUUGAACCAGUCUUUGGUCCAUGCUAACCUCAAACUCAAUUUGUAGUUAACAAUUGCCUUGGACUCCUGAUCCUUUUGCCGCCAACCUCUGAGUACUGGGAUUAGCAGCAUAAAUUACCAUAUCCAACUAAACUUACUAUUCUUUUACUCUUUUACUUUUAAAAUUUUUCAUUAGUAAUCAAGACACAAGCUUGGAGCUAUUCAGGGAUAAACCACCAGUAUCCUUGACCUUCUUGGUUCUUCUCUCUAGAAGGCUGCCAGGGUAAUAACUCACCCGGAGCUGCCAUCUCCUGUGACAAUGUCUUCUGCUGGAACCUCUCACGAAGGCCUUGCAACCUAUUGAGGGGCAUCCUCCUUUCAGUGUGCAGCAGGAACAGUGUGUCAUGGUGACUCAGCUCUUCUCCCACAAAGCACUCUUGAACUGCCAUGCCAGCAAAGCCGAGAAGCAUUGCUUGGAGAAACAUCUUUCAAGGGUUCCUGUCCUGCACUGGUGUUCCCACACAUCAGCCCUUUUGUACUCGCAUCAGAGUAUCAAAGUGACACCUUCCCUCCGAGCAUCACUCUGUGCUCCACCCAAGCCAUUGCUGUAACAGAAAGAUGACAAAACUACAGCCGUGAUAAUUUGCUUGCUUCCCCCUUCCUUUGUCACAGGUUUGCUUGUAAACAGACAACACACCUCGAAUAUUCCUCAAUCCGUGGAAAUGUUUGCUCUGGGAGUCACGUGUUCAAACUUUUGAAGAUUAUUGAGGGCUAUAGAAAUUUCUGCUAGAUUCUGUGGCCCUUCUUGGCCUUCUUCUCUUUCUUGGACUUCUCCAGUUUCCCUUUUCCUCUCUCGUCUCCAGCUCUGUGUCCCUCUUCUUGCGGUAACAAAUCUUCAUUAGUCACUUCCUCAGGAGCUCCUAAGUGUCAUCCUCGGGUCAAGUUUGUUGCCUGCUCAGCUGCAGCUUGUUGAGUUUUGCAAGCUCCUCAUCCUUGCAAUGGCUGGGGCAAAGCAGAGUGGUGCUUAGUGCAAUACCAACAAAAGGGCUGAUGCGUGGGAACAUCAGUAACAGUAAAGAAAUCCUUGAAAGACCUUUCUCCAAGAAGUGUUUCUUUGCUUUGCUGCUGUGGCAACUCAAGACAGCAUCGUGGGAGAAGAACUGAUUUACAUGCUACCAGGUCAUUGCCAGGACUUCUGUUUCUGUUGCACACUGGUGGUGCAGGCACAUUUGCGCACUUGAAAGCCUUGGGGGCUCUCACUAUGCCAGAUCACAAAGGGUUUCAGCUUGUAGCCUGCAUCAGUUACCCUCAAGCCAGACAGUGAUCUGUGUGUAAGCCUUAAAUCCAGCAUUGACUUGCCCUCCUAAAUGGGAAAGUCCCCUCAGGCAUCAUCACCAGAACAGGGGAAUUUUAUCUAUGUUGAACAUUUGCUCUAGUAAGUGAGUUUUCCCUGAAGUCAACUUGCCCAGAGUUUCCAAAAUUUCCUCAGCUGUCUUCACAUUGGUCUCCUGCUGGUGAAACUAGCAGUGGCUCUUGAAGUCCUGAUGAACAAUUCAAGAUUAAAUCAAGCACUAUGGCAACUGCUGCAAUCCACAGAUAGGAUCUUACCAUGAAGCUCAGGCUGUCCUGGAACCCACCCACCACAUAACCCCGGCUGGCCUCAGACUUGAGGCCAUCCUCCUGUCUUGGUCUCCUUGAUGUGUUAUAUUCAAGCUUGAGAAUCCUGAAGAUUUGUGUGCCACCAUCCUUUGUUCAAUAUACAGAAUCAUUCAAGUAAUUGACAUUAUAAGUUCAUGUUUAGUUCCUACUGAAACUACAUGAGUCCAUUACAACAUUGAGGGAAAGUGGGGUUGGUGUUCAGGGUUUCUCAAAAUUGAGGCACAAGUGGUACAUUACAUUUAGUCCAAAGCUGUCUUCUUCUGUAGCAAAAGGUAACUCUGCAGUAUACAGACAAACUGCAACCUAGUUUGAGACUAUAUUCUUUAACAAGUAGCCAAGUUUUUGCCAGUCAUAAUAGAUGAGUUUUUAAUCAAUGGUAGACUGCAAAACAAUGAAACAUGUCCAAAU